This is a long non-coding RNA of Myotis brandtii (Brandt's bat), 555 nucleotides long. RefSeq lists it as uncharacterized. The transcript is spliced from 4 exons. NCBI's taxonomy places the organism in Eukaryota, Metazoa, Chordata, Mammalia, Chiroptera, Vespertilionidae. The record is from RefSeq and is a predicted model, not a curated record.
GUAUAUGACAAGUAGGAAAUUAGACCAACAUGAGGGCACAGCGGAAGAGCAGCGCCUCCUCUGGAUGGACAGAGAAGAAAGACGACAGCAGGAACAAACAAGAAGAAAACUUAAGUCUCCCUAAACUGUGAAGAGGAAUGGAAGACAAAGGAGAUGCUGCUUCUGACAGAGACUGUAGAAGGUGUUUGCAGAGAAGCUGCAAUAAAGGAAUAAUGGAGCAGAAGCAGAGGAGAGAGUGACAAGCAGAUGCCUCUGACAAUAUCACUGUUUUUGGAGAGCCACAGAAUGCACCAGGUUUCCCCUUCAUUUUUACUUGAUGCCAAUUUCUCUUCCAUGAGUCCUAGCCAACCUUAGUGGCAACCAGUACAAUGGAUAAACUCUGGCCCUGGGAAUGCCCAUUAGACGUGACCACUGAUGGGAGGCAUGGUGACACCACAGGCUGCUUAAGAAAGAAGCACUUUUAGAUGAAAAAAUGGCUUACAAUUUUCCAAAGUAAGAAAAUGCAUUCACAAUAGAAGACAUGGGAAAAAAUGCAUCUGAUUACAGAGGACAAGA